GUGGCGUUGCUUACACAACAGUUUUGAUCAAGAUUUCCUUCCUAGCUUUAGACAGGAGAGUAUAAGGGGGUUGUGAUUCGACCCCACCACUGGUAAUGCUAAAACUUCAGCAUUUGGAAAGAUCCAGCAACUGGCCCAUGGCAGCCCACAAUCUCAAGAUUAGACUUGAGGGGAGUAUCAGGAUUAGAUCAUGAGGACAUUGUACUUGAUUUGGAUAGAUUUGUGAUGUUCGGUUGAAGGGAGCUCCAGUUGGAAAAUUCGUGGGGCCUCAAUCGCUUAGAGAAGUGAGGCUCUGCAUGCUUCCAUUCAACCACAAUUUCGAUCACAGUAAGAAGAUGAGAAGAAGCGUCAAUGACAAUCGAUUUGAGGGGUUUCCAUAUUUUAGGGUUUGGUUUUUGGCUUCUUGGAUAUUAUGGGUUGUGGGUAUUCCUAUUUCGGGGAUUUGAUGGGAACGCCAUUGUGGAGAGACAGAGGUCUGGACAUCUUAGGAUUAGGGUUUGGAAAGACUAUCACCUACAGGGGAUAGAGAGAAACUCCAUGGGAGAGGUGACUCUACCAGUCACCUAUGGCUAUUGACAACAUCCACUCUAUUAAGCGACCAUCAAAUUUCUCUAAAUUGGUACUUUCUUUUCUCUUCAGAUAAAGUCACUCAACAUUUUAAUUAA
Eucalyptus grandis is the source of this 665-nucleotide long non-coding RNA. RefSeq lists it as uncharacterized. The transcript has 4 exons. NCBI's taxonomy places the organism in Eukaryota, Viridiplantae, Streptophyta, Magnoliopsida, Myrtales, Myrtaceae. The record is from RefSeq and is a predicted model, not a curated record.